Tinamus guttatus (white-throated tinamou) is the source of this 313-nucleotide non-coding RNA. The record is from RefSeq and is a predicted model, not a curated record. NCBI's taxonomy places the organism in Eukaryota, Metazoa, Chordata, Aves, Tinamiformes, Tinamidae.
GGGGCUCCUCCGCAGGGCGAAGCUCUUCAAGGGCAGGAAGCUCCAUGGGGACGUCGAGGUCCGGGUGGAGCAGGCCCAGUUUUCGGAGCUCAGCUUGGUGGCCUCCACCACGGGUGCCCUCACGGUCACCAUCGACAGCCCUCACGGGGGGACCAGGCGGCUGCGCCCCGACUUCGUGCUGGUCCGGGAGGAGCCCGCGGGGUUCGGGGCGCCCGAGGGGGGCCCGGCCCGGCCCCUGCUCGUGGGGCUGCACCUGGCCGGGGUCCCGGCCACCAACCCCCUGCCCGCGCUCUACGCAUUCGCACACCGGCCC